ACUCUCUCAGCUGGAGUUCUAGGUGACCAGUGAGACCCUGACAAAAACUCAAGACACCGUAUAGUGAGGGGGCUCCCUGCAGGUGUAGCAAGAAUGGAAAUGAAUCACGAAAAGAUGUCAGGAGAAAGGUCCAGACUUCAGAAAUUCCUGGGCUUCAGUGUACAUGCAGUGAGACAAAGAGACAGUGAGAGACGGAGAGCUGUCUACCAUUUCAGAGGAGAAGGGAAAUGAAAGUGGUUCCCGUCGGCUAGCCAGACAGAACACCUUUGCUGUGAAGGUCUGCAAGAACUGGUUAGCAACAGCAAACACGGACAUUCUUUCACCACACAAAGCAGCAGAGGUAAACAAUGGGAGCAGCCUGGUCAAGGUCCCAUGAGGGGUGACUCAGCACAACUCCACUUGACCAAGCAGCUCUCUCACAUCUGAAGCAACAAGAUUCAACACCAACUACAAGCGUAUUGCUCAUUACUGCUUUCUCGGUUGACUGUUUGUCUAGACUGUAUGGAGCUUCUGAAAUAAACCUUCCUGAGAAUAAU
Molecule: long non-coding RNA, 536 nt
Organism: Myodes glareolus (Bank vole)
Lineage: Eukaryota; Metazoa; Chordata; Mammalia; Rodentia; Cricetidae
Source: RefSeq, a predicted model, not a curated record